RNAcentral lists this ribosomal RNA (255 nucleotides) under uncultured bacterium. RNAcentral's name for it is "partial 16S ribosomal RNA". It matches the Rfam family "Bacterial small subunit ribosomal RNA", at positions 524 to 776 of the family's 1533-position model. The record is from RNAcentral.
UACGUAGGGUGCAAGCGUUAAUCGGAAUUACUGGGCGUAAAGCGUGCGCAGGCGGUUUUGUAAGUCUGUCGUGAAAUCCCCGGGCUCAACCUGGGGAUUGCGAUGGAGACUGCAAGGCUAGAAUCUGGCAGAGGGGGGUAGAAUUCCACGUGUGAGCAGUGAAAUGCGUAGAGAUGUGGAGGAACACCGAUGGCGAAGGCAGCCCCUGGGUCAAGAUUGACGCUCCAUGCACGAAAGGCGUGGGGAGCAAACAGG